This 2900-nucleotide ribosomal RNA is filed under the name Klebsiella pneumoniae. RNAcentral describes it as "bacterial LSU rRNA". It matches the Rfam family "Bacterial large subunit ribosomal RNA". Lineage: Bacteria; Pseudomonadati; Pseudomonadota; Gammaproteobacteria; Enterobacterales; Enterobacteriaceae. The record is from RNAcentral.
UUAAGCGACUAAGCGUACACGGUGGAUGCCCUGGCAGUCAGAGGCGAUGAAGGACGUGCUAAUCUGCGAAAAGCGUCGGUAAGGUGAUAUGAACCGUUAUAACCGGCGAUGUCCGAAUGGGGAAACCCAGUGCAAUUCGUUGCACUAUCGUUAACUGAAUACAUAGGUUAACGAGGCGAACCGGGGGAACUGAAACAUCUAAGUACCCCGAGGAAAAGAAAUCAACCGAGAUUCCCCCAGUAGCGGCGAGCGAACGGGGAGCAGCCCAGAGUCUGAAUCAGCUUGUGUGUUAGUGGAACGGUCUGGAAAGUCCGACGGUACAGGGUGAUAGUCCCGUACACCAAAAUGCACAGGUUGUGAACUCGAAGAGUAGGGCGGGACACGUGGUAUCCUGUCUGAAUAUGGGGGGACCAUCCUCCAAGGCUAAAUACUCCUGACUGACCGAUAGUGAACCAGUACCGUGAGGGAAAGGCGAAAAGAACCCCGGCGAGGGGAGUGAAAAAGAACCUGAAACCGUGUACGUACAAGCAGUGGGAGCACCUUCGGGUGUGACUGCGUACCUUUUGUAUAAUGGGUCAGCGACUUAUAUUCUGUAGCAAGGUUAACCGUAUAGGGGAGCCGCAGGGAAACCGAGUCUUAACUGGGCGUUAAGUUGCAGGGUAUAGACCCGAAACCCGGUGAUCUAGCCAUGGGCAGGUUGAAGGUUGGGUAACACUAACUGGAGGACCGAACCGACUAAUGUUGAAAAAUUAGCGGAUGACUUGUGGCUGGGGGUGAAAGGCCAAUCAAACCGGGAGAUAGCUGGUUCUCCCCGAAAGCUAUUUAGGUAGCGCCUCGUGAACUCAUCUUCGGGGGUAGAGCACUGUUUCGGCUAGGGGGUCAUCCCGACUUACCAACCCGAUGCAAACUACGAAUACCGAAGAAUGUUAUCACGGGAGACACACGGCGGGUGCUAACGUCCGUCGUGAAGAGGGAAACAACCCAGACCGCCAGCUAAGGUCCCAAAGUCAUGGUUAAGUGGGAAACGAUGUGGGAAGGCACAGACAGCCAGGAUGUUGGCUUAGAAGCAGCCAUCAUUUAAAGAAAGCGUAAUAGCUCACUGGUCGAGUCGGCCUGCGCGGAAGAUGUAACGGGGCUAAACCAUGCACCGAAGCUGCGGCAGCGACACUAUGUGUUGUUGGGUAGGGGAGCGUUCUGUAAGCCUGCGAAGGUGUGCUGUGAGGCAUGCUGGAGGUAUCAGAAGUGCGAAUGCUGACAUAAGUAACGAUAAAGCGGGUGAAAAGCCCGCUCGCCGGAAGACCAAGGGUUCCUGUCCAACGUUAAUCGGGGCAGGGUGAGUCGACCCCUAAGGCAAGGCCGAAAGGCGUAGUCGAUGGGAAACAGGUUAAUAUUCCUGUACUUGGUGUUACUGCGAAGGGGGGACGGAGAAGGCUAUGUUAGCCGGGCGACGGUUGUCCCGGUUUAAGCAUGUAGGCUGGUUAUCCAGGCAAAUCCGGAUAAUCAAGGCUGAGGUGUGAUGACGAGGCACUACGGUGCUGAAGUAACAAAUGCCCUGCUUCCAGGAAAAGCCUCUAAGCAUCAGGUAACAUUAAAUCGUACCCCAAACCGACACAGGUGGUCAGGUAGAGAAUACCAAGGCGCUUGAGAGAACUCGGGUGAAGGAACUAGGCAAAAUGGUGCCGUAACUUCGGGAGAAGGCACGCUGGUGUGUAGGUGAAGUCCCUGCGGAUGGAGCUGAGACCAGUCGAAGAUACCAGCUGGCUGCAACUGUUUAUUAAAAACACAGCACUGUGCAAACACGAAAGUGGACGUAUACGGUGUGACGCCUGCCCGGUGCCGGAAGGUUAAUUGAUGGGGUUAUCCGUAAGGAGAAGCUCUUGAUCGAAGCCCCGGUAAACGGCGGCCGUAACUAUAACGGUCCUAAGGUAGCGAAAUUCCUUGUCGGGUAAGUUCCGACCUGCACGAAUGGCGUAAUGAUGGCCAGGCUGUCUCCACCCGAGACUCAGUGAAAUUGAACUCGCUGUGAAGAUGCAGUGUACCCGCGGCAAGACGGAAAGACCCCGUGAACCUUUACUAUAGCUUGACACUGAACAUUGAGCCUUGAUGUGUAGGAUAGGUGGGAGGCUUUGAAGCGUGGACGCCAGUCUGCGUGGAGCCAACCUUGAAAUACCACCCUUUAAUGUUUGAUGUUCUAACGUUGGCCCCUGACCGGGGUUGCGGACAGUGUCUGGUGGGUAGUUUGACUGGGGCGGUCUCCUCCCAAAGCGUAACGGAGGAGCACGAAGGUUAGCUAAUCCUGGUCGGACAUCAGGAGGUUAGUGCAAUGGCAUAAGCUAGCUUGACUGCGAGCGUGACGGCGCGAGCAGGUGCGAAAGCAGGUCAUAGUGAUCCGGUGGUUCUGAAUGGAAGGGCCAUCGCUCAACGGAUAAAAGGUACUCCGGGGAUAACAGGCUGAUACCGCCCAAGAGUUCAUAUCGACGGCGGUGUUUGGCACCUCGAUGUCGGCUCAUCACAUCCUGGGGCUGAAGUAGGUCCCAAGGGUAUGGCUGUUCGCCAUUUAAAGUGGUACGCGAGCUGGGUUUAGAACGUCGUGAGACAGUUCGGUCCCUAUCUGCCGUGGGCGCUGGAGAAUUGAGGGGGGCUGCUCCUAGUACGAGAGGACCGGAGUGGACGCAUCACUGGUGUUCGGGUUGUCAUGCCAAUGGCACUGCCCGGUAGCUAAAUGCGGAAGAGAUAAGUGCUGAAAGCAUCUAAGCACGAAACUUGCCCCGAGAUGAGUUCUCCCUGAGACUUUAAGUCUCCUGAAGGAACGUUAAAGACGAUGACGUUGAUAGGCCGGGUGUGUAAGCGCAGCGAUGCGUUGAGCUAACCGGUACUAAUGAACCGUGAGGCUUAACCUU